RNAcentral lists this ribosomal RNA (301 nucleotides) under uncultured bacterium. Its description in RNAcentral is "partial 16S ribosomal RNA". It matches the Rfam family "Bacterial small subunit ribosomal RNA", at positions 509 to 807 of the family's 1533-position model. The record is from RNAcentral.
CAGUAGCCACGGUAAUACAGAGGAUGCAAGCGUUAUCCGGAAUGAUUGGGCGUAAAGCGUCUGUAGGCGGCUUUGUAAGUUAGAGGUGAAAGCCUGGAGCUCAACUCCAGAACUGCCUUUAAGACUGCAUCGCUUGAAUCCAGGAGAGGUGAGUGGAAUUCCGAGUGUAGAGGUGAAAUUCGUAGAUAUUCGGAAGAACACCAGUGGCGAAGGCGGCUCACUGGCUCAUUCUAGACGCUGAGGUGCGAAAGCGUGGGGAGCAAACAGGAUUAGAUACCCCAGUAGUCCCUGUCUCUUAUAC